This 215-nucleotide ribosomal RNA is filed under the name Glomeromycotina sp. RNAcentral's name for it is "partial small subunit ribosomal RNA". The record is from RNAcentral. Lineage: Eukaryota; Fungi; Glomeromycota.
GGGUCAGUAGGUUGGUCGUGCCACCGGUACGUACUGGUCUCACUGACUCCUCCUUCCUGAAGAACCGUAAUGCCAUUAAUUUGGUGUUGCGGGGAAACAGGACUGUUACUUUGGAAAAAUUAGAGUGUUUAAAGCAAGCUAACGCUUGAAUACAUUAGCAUGGAUAAUGAAAUAGGACGAUCGAUCCUAUUUUGUUGGUUUCUAGGAUUGACGUA